CAUGUCUUUUUGAAUUUAAUUUAAAGUCUAAUCUGCCCACUGAUAUAUUAUUAAAUGGCCGCAGUAUUUUAACUGUGCAAAGGUAGCAUAAUCAAUAGUUUUUUAAUUGAAGACUUGUAUGAAUGAUUGCACGAGAUAUAAGCUGUCUUAAAGAAAGUAUUUUGAAUUUUAUUAUUUAGUUAAAAAGCUAAACUAAUUUUAAAAGACGAGAAGACCCUAUAGAUCUUUAUAAAAAUAAUAUUUAUUUUUUAAAGUAUGAUUUUUAGAUUAAUAUUAGUUUUUAUUUUAUUGGGGUGAUAUUGAAAUUUAAUUAACUUUCAAGUUUUAAAUACAUUAGUUUAUGGGUAAUUGAUCCUUUAUUAUUGAUUAAAAAUUUAAGUUACCUUAGGGAUAACAGCGUAAUUAUUUUGGAGAGUUCUUAUCGAUAAAAUAGAUUGCGACCUCGAUGUUGGAUUAAGAUUAAUUUUAGGCGUAGCAGUUUAAAGUAUUAAGUCUGUUCGACUUUUAAUUUCU
Molecule: ribosomal RNA, 513 nt
Filed under: Eurynogaster sp. n. C KRG-2016
Lineage: Eukaryota; Metazoa; Arthropoda; Insecta; Diptera; Dolichopodidae
Description: partial 16S ribosomal RNA
Rfam family: Bacterial large subunit ribosomal RNA (bases 390-513)
Source: RNAcentral